RNAcentral lists this ribosomal RNA (496 nucleotides) under uncultured bacterium. RNAcentral's name for it is "partial 16S ribosomal RNA". It matches the Rfam family "Bacterial small subunit ribosomal RNA", at positions 28 to 507 of the family's 1533-position model. The record is from RNAcentral.
GAUGAACGCUGGCGGCGUGCCUAAUACAUGCAAGUCGAGCGAACAGACGAGGAGCUUGCUCCUCUGACGUUAGCGGCGGACGGGUGAGUAACACGUGGAUAACCUACCUAUAAGACUGGGAUAACUUCGGGAAACCGGAGCUAAUACCGGAUAAUAUAUUGAACCGCAUGGUUCAAUAGUGAAAGACGGUUUUGCUGUCACUUAUAGAUGGAUCCGCGCCGCAUUAGCUAGUUGGUAAGGUAACGGCUUACCAAGGCAACGAUGCGUAGCCGACCUGAGGGGGUGAUCGGCACCUGUGAAGCGAGGACGCGCACCAAACCCCUACGUGAGGCACCGGUGGGAAUCCUACGGAAGGGGGCAAAGGCCUAUGGAGGAAACGCGGCGUAAGUAUGAAAGGUCUUCGACUCGUAAAUCAUGGUUGUAGGGGAGGAGCAAAGGUGUAGUAACCUAGACGCUAAUGACCGGACCCUAAGAAAAAGCCCCGGCUAACUUCGUG